Non-coding RNA from Myodes glareolus (Bank vole), 892 nucleotides. The record is from RefSeq and is a predicted model, not a curated record. Lineage: Eukaryota; Metazoa; Chordata; Mammalia; Rodentia; Cricetidae.
GGUCACUGCAGCUGCACACAGCUCUAGCUAGGGACUGGACCUACCCACUGAAGGUGUUUGGAGGAGGAGGGCUCCCCUUCUGUUCAGCAAAGUUUUUGCUGAUUGUAUCUCCUGGGACCCCUGCAGUCAGGAGCUGAAUUGUGACGUGAAGUAGGAAUGAUCCACAAGUGAGCAGAAUUAUAAGGGGGUCAGAAGGAAGACUGCCUUGAGGAAGUUCCCAGUGACCUACCCGCCCUCCUUCUUGAACCUGUCCAAUUCUCUCACCUGCACUGUGGCCUGGACUUAGUGACCUGGCUUCUAACAGCUGGCAUCCCAGCAGGGGAAGCCAGCUGCCUGUCUCAAGUGCCCACAGAGAAGCCUGUGCUGCAGAACAAAGGGCGGCCUCUGAAGGAGCUGAGGCAGAGCUCAGCCCCGUGAGUGACCUCAGCCACACUCUUCCCCAGUUGAUUGGCAGUCGAUGAUCAGUGAUUGAUUACAGCCUGUGAGUGAGCAUGCCAUCUAAGUGUUCCCAGAUUCCUAGUCCACAGAAAUGGAGGCCGUGUUUGGUAAAGCAUCAAACUGUGUAAUGACUUUGGAAUGACUUAAUAAGACAAAUUAUUUACACCAUUAGGCUGGUAAAAAUGACACUGUUUGGGGAAGUGGCACAGCCUUGUAGAAGGAAGUAUGUCCCUGGGGGCAGGCUUUGAGAGUUUAUAGCUUUGCCCCACUUCUAGUUCCUGGUUCUCGGCUUCACACUUGCUAUUAAAGAUAUAAACUGUCAGCUUCCUGCUCGGGCUGCCGUGUCUGUGCUCACUGCUCUGCCGCCCUGGCAUGAUGAACAGUGGACUCUAACCCUCUGGAGCCAUGGGCCAAAAUAAACUCUCUCUUCCUUAAGCUGCCUUGGCUUGUGGUG